RNAcentral lists this long non-coding RNA (224 nucleotides) under Panax ginseng (ginseng). RNAcentral describes it as "long non-coding RNA (PGIN_LNC010393)". The record is from RNAcentral. Lineage: Eukaryota; Viridiplantae; Streptophyta; Magnoliopsida; Apiales; Araliaceae.
UCAUUCUCCAUAACUCACGUUGCUAUCUCUUCAUCAGUUACAAGUUGUGCCAUACAUCUCUCCAUCAAUUAGCCACGAUUCUCUCCUCAUCCAAAGUCCUUAUCUCCUCAACUUCUCCAAAGUGCAUUAUAAAGCUAGGGUUCCAAGUUGGAGUGAAGAAACGAGUAUUGGGGGUAGAAAUUCUUCAAGCUUUUCUUCAUUCUCCAUCAUAUAAUCUGUGCAAC